This 429-nucleotide ribosomal RNA is filed under the name Chloroflexota bacterium. Its description in RNAcentral is "Chloroflexi bacterium partial 16S ribosomal RNA". It matches the Rfam family "Bacterial small subunit ribosomal RNA", at positions 355 to 776 of the family's 1533-position model. Lineage: Bacteria; Bacillati; Chloroflexota. The record is from RNAcentral.
UGGGGAAUAUUGCACAAUGGGCGCAAGCCUGAUGCAGCCAUGCCGCGUGUAUGAAGAAGGCCUUCGGGUUGUAAAGUACUUUCAGCGGGGAGGAAGGGAGUAAAGUUAAUACCUUUGCUCAUUGACGUUACCCGCAGAAGAAGCACCGGCUAACUCCGUGCCAGCAGCCGCGGUAAUACGGAGGGUGCAAGCGUUAAUCGGAAUUACUGGGCGUAAAGCGCACGCAGGCGGUUUGUUAAGUCAGAUGUGAAAUCCCCGGGCUCAACCUGGGAACUGCAUCUGAUACUGGCAAGCUUGAGUCUCGUAGAGGGGGGUAGAAUUCCAGGUGUAGCGGUGAAAUGCGUAGCGAUCUGGGGGAAUACCGGUGGCGAAGGCGGCCCCCUGGACGAAGACUGACGCUCAGGUGCGAAAGCGUGGGGAGCAAACAGG